GAUGAAGAACGUAGCGAAAUGCGCUAAGUAAUGCGAAUUGCAGAAUUCAGUGAGUCAUCGAAUCUUUGAACGCACAUUGCGCCCUGUGGUAUUCCGCAGGGCAUGCCUGUUCGAGCGUCAUUUCAACCCUCAAGCCCCGCUUGGUGUUGGGCCCCGCCCGCCGUGGCCGGCCCUAAAGACAGUGGCGGCGCCGCCUGGCCCUCAGCGUAGUACAGCUCUCGCUCCAGGGUCCGGCGGCCGCCUGCCAGAACCCCCCCAACUCUGUGGUUGACCUCGGAUCAGGUAGGGAUACCCGCUGAACUUAAGCAUAUCAAUAAGCGGAGGA
RNAcentral lists this unclassified non-coding RNA (325 nucleotides) under soil metagenome. RNAcentral describes it as "partial contains 5.8S ribosomal RNA, internal transcribed spacer 2, and large subunit ribosomal RNA". The stretch from base 1 to 120 matches the Rfam family "5.8S ribosomal RNA", at positions 35 to 154 of the family's 154-position model. The record is from RNAcentral.